Long non-coding RNA from Photinus pyralis (common eastern firefly), 4426 nucleotides. RefSeq lists it as uncharacterized. Lineage: Eukaryota; Metazoa; Arthropoda; Insecta; Coleoptera; Lampyridae. The record is from RefSeq and is a predicted model, not a curated record. The transcript has 2 exons.
UGACGUUUCGUCAACCUUAUCUGAAAUAAACUAAUUAAACAAAUCGCCUUUGAAAUGAUUUGAGAGUAACCAUGAAAACCUCGAUGAAAACGCAUGUUCUAUAACUGUUACAAAAUAAAAAUGUUAGCGAGUUUGUUGUUUUUUAUGUUAUCGAUUUAAAAGAAGUAUAAUAAAAAAUAUUGUUCAUUACACGUCCAGAAAUGCUUUUUCCGUGCUUGCAUGACUUCGCCUACGCCUCACACGGGAAUUUGCCACGCGCGCACGGAAAAAGCCUGCUUUCCGGACUCCUAAUGAAAUAUACUAUUAAUUACUCAAUGCGUGUUGGCAGUAAGUGAGCGCGUGCAAUAAACAAAAUAGACAUAACUCGUAGAGUUACCAAUAAAAUACAAAAUAAUAUUUUAUUUUGUAAAACCGAUAAACUAUUGAACAAACCAAUUGAGGCAAUGAAGUAAUUAAGUUCCUUUACUCAAUCUUUAAGUUCUUACCCAAUUUUUAAUUUAAAAACACUAUUCCAUUUUUGUAUAGUUCGAUAGGAAGGAAAAGUAAAUCGUAAAUUCUUAAGCAUAAACUUAUAUAGAGAUGGCGAUUUGUAAUAAAACGGUAAUGCUAGAUCUUUCUCUGCUUUGGUCCAGGGCCUUCGCUGGUGGUGAAAUAUUUGCAUUUUUGUAAAAGUCUUAACAGCAUACUUUUGUUUUUUAACAGCUUUUCUAUCAAACGAAACGAGACUGAUGCUUUUUUCUUCAAUUGAAGUUGUUUUGCCUUUAAUUUUUUCCUAAGUUCGUAAACUUUAACAGAUAACUUCUUCACUUUCCCUGUUUCUAUUAUCGAAUCCAGGGAUUGCAUGUGUAAAAUUCUAUCGCUAACCACAGAUACAUGCGAUGGCGUAGGACUGGGAGGGUUAGAAGGGGCUAACUUAUACUUUUUUGCAAAAGUGUACAUGUUUGGGGAGCCUAUCGGACGUUUUCUCACGCCAUUACUCGAUGAAUUGUCUUCCUCUAAAAGAAUCAGAAUAAUUAAUAUUGAGAAUGGGGAGUAGUCAGUAAAAUGAGUAAGUUCGCAUAUCGGAUUAGCGUCACUGGCUUGACACUUUUAAGUGGGUGUUUCCCAUUCCGAGACUAACAUACCUUAACUAUUGCGUUCUCUUUUUGCUGCAACAACCUCCAUUUUAAACGUCUGUAACGUCCAGUGUAAUUCUUAGUUCACCGCCCGCGGUUCGUAAAACUAGAUACGCACUUGCCCUCUACCUCAAAUGUCAUGUUUUAAAUAAGGAAAGAUGUAUAACCUCAUGCGCGCUGUGAAUAUAAGCGCUAAUCCGAUGUGCGAACUUACUCAUUUUACUGACUAUAGUGUGAUGUGCAGAGCCCGUUCUAAUUUUUUGAAUUAACUGUGAUUUUUGAUGUUCUUUUAAUUUCGCUUUAUUUUCGCCAUUUCGCUGAUAGCUUAAUUGUUAAUUAAUACUAUGAAAAGCAAAAUGAAUCAUCGCCAUGACCUGGGCCAAAUUGGAACAAAAAUGAUUCUUUUUACAUUGUAUUCUGAAAAGUGUUUAUUUUAACAUAUGCAUAUUUUGGAUUUUACUGCACUAAAACCUCGUACAAAACCACAGGAUUUUCCCAUUAAGAGGAUGUUCUUCUUCGCAUGUGCACAUCUCUAAUCCAAUGGUGCUCCUGUCUGCAUACUGUGUACCAACUUACAUUUUAAUUUUAAAACAUUUCCAGAUUUUUUGCAAUAUUUACAUGUUUCAGGGUAAUGUUCAAAUUUUCCACAAUUAGAACAUUAAAGGAAUUUUAGCAAUCAGAUAUUUCACAAACUUCAUACACAAUUCCGACAUAUCUUCCAUAUCGCCAGCUGGCUGGCCAUAGUAGACUGAAUUUUUGCCUAUAAUUGUGUACAUAUUUUCGAGUUUUGACCUUUUCUAAGAACAUUUUUGACAAAACUAGUUAAAACACUUCUGUGAGGUUAUGUGUCAAUUUAAUUCAGAUUAAUAGACUUCUCUUACCAUCUUCGUUUUUCCGUCACACAGGGAGAUAUCAGGAAGGAAACCACUUUUCUGCACAUUGAAAUCCAACAAAUCUUGAAGUUGAUUUUUGGACGUUUACUAAAUUUUCUUUUUUCACAAUGGAGCCACAGAAACAAGGCGAAUGCUACUUGUUCUGCAGUAGAACAUUAGAGGCGGUACACUUUUAGCGAUUACUUCCGCAACAUAUGUUGAACGGUUGAAAGCUGCAAGUUAUUACUAUCAAAGAUGCCAAGCGACUAGUAUGACUGGUAGUCGGUAAGUAGGUCAUAGACCCUUCAGUUUUUUGUUUUUAUUUUACAGAAUGUUACUUUAGAAAGGGGAUACUGUCAUCAUCUUACGGUGUUGUAUGAGUUUUUUGGGCUUCAAGCUUGUCAUUAAAGAAAAUGUUUUGAGAGUUUAUGUCUAAAAGUGGUAACUGUUCGCCGCAGAUGGCAAUUUCUUUAUUAUUGUCAAUAAUGCCAUGUCUCGAUGUGGCCUUCAAUUCUAAAAUGACGCUCUAGCCCUAGCUAUACAUUGUGUCAUAAUUUCACUCCUUUGAUUUGUCAUAGAAAAUUUCAAUCUGGUAUAAAAUUAAUUUUUUGUGCAAAUCACAAGUGAUCUUGUGUUUCCGCCUGCUGAGCAGUGCAAACUAUCACUCUUCUUAGGCCACAUAUUUAUUGAUCUUCGUUUGAAAGCAGUAAAAUAAAGAUGUCCAUUGAGAUUGGUCCGAAUUGGAAAAAGGUUUGUUUGGGCAUAUAAUAAUUGAUUGUUUGAUAAUCAGUGACAAAUAAUUAGUUUAUAGAAUCAUUUGUUUUUAGUAACUAUUAUCACUUGUUCGAAUUGGGUUGAGUGGAAGAGCAGACACGGAUGCUAUCCCUGUCUAAUAAAGUCAUUAUUAUAAUCGCCCAUUUAUUAAUAAUAGACUAUUCCAGGCGGCGACGGCAAGCGGCUUCAAUUUCGGUCAGACAGCACCGGCACAAGCGCCCCCGUCAUUUAACGCGAACAUCAAACCAAACUUCAACUUCACCGCUGGAAAUAUGGUGACUGGAUUUUCCGCGACGCCCGAAAAUUCGCCGGUAACGCAGCGAAGGAGACUAAAAGCAGUAAGACGAAAUCCUCGAUAGUGUUAUUGCGAACGCGCCGUCGCAUGUAAAUAUAUUAUAGCAAUUAAUGUCCUGUGACAGUUAGCCUUAAUUUUAAGGUAUAUUUUGUAAAAAAAAUAUAUGCAUUCAAUGAGACGUUAAAAAUCAAGUUGUGUAACACUGAAUGAUGCUUUUCAGACCUGGUAUACUUUAACUACGAAAGUUUUGGAUUGGCUGUGAAUAUCCGAAAUGCGCGUUGAGCCCUUUCGGUACUUGUAAUAUAAUGUUGAAACGUUUUAGAAUUUAUUAUUAAAAGAAAAUUGUCAUGCGUAUUGUACGAUGUUCACAGUUGGGUCUUAAGCUUGAACGAGAACAACUGUUAAGUAAUAAUUAUAUAUUCCUACAUUGUACGUGUAUUAUAGUGUAGGUUUAUUACAUGGUCUGAUCCAUAGAAUUUAGAAUUUUUUACUGAUAUUUAAAGAUGAAUAAUUCGUCUCUUGUGGUUUAAUGAAAAUCAUUGAAAAAAUACUUCGAUGUAUAAAUAUUGAAAUAUAAUAUUUAUAUGAUUGCCAUAUUGGCUAUACUUUCUGUGAUAUUCUCAUGGGUCAGGCCCCGCACAUAUUCAUUAUAUGAUAAAACACAGACAAAUGUAUCAAAUAAUAAUGCACUUAUUUUCUACCGAAGGUGCGAUAUGUUUAUUAUUGUUGCCGAAUAAUUUUGUCUGUGUCAAAUAAAGUAGGCUCACUCCUUAUGUUCCUGCGAGUAAUCUAUUUUGUUGAUUGGAAACUGUAGAUAUUUUUAUAUAACGAUAAUGAAAGUGAUAUUUUCGCAACACAUUAUUUACCACCUUUAGUUUUUUAUUUUUUAAACCAAUUACGAUAAGGGUAAGAUAAUUUUACAUGGUACGUUAAAUAAUUGUGUUGCCGUAACUUUUAAAAAAGGAGUUAGACUGCUUGUGUAAAUAGUUAAUUUGAUUAAAAGAAUUUAAUUAGAUGAGAUCGAUGCUGAGAGUUCCAUUGGAAGUGGAUUUUCUGUUCUCUAGUGUACUCAAAUAUGUUACAAAACUGUAAUGGAACUUUCAGCAUACUUGUGCCUUUAUUUUUUUAUUUAUCUCGUUUGGCAAAAAAAAGCUUGGCCUAGUCUACGCUCCGUUAAAUUUGUUUAUUCUUCAACAAAAGGUUCGUUUUAAAUGUAUUUGCAAGAAAAAUACCAAUGUAUGUGUUGUCUCCAUAAGUAAUUUAUUUGUGUAAAUGAAGUUUAUUGUUUUGCCGAUUUAUUCGUAUGUGCAAGCCAAGUUUUUGUUAAAACUGUUUUCAGUUAAGUUAAAUACAUAAACUAGUAUAGGUAA